AAGGAAGGGGGCUAGUUAAGCUUUCAGAGUCCCUGAACACUCUAAGACUUAAAGUUAGAAUUUCUGAGCGGUGGCACGCAGGAUCUACAUUUGAAAGAACAGCCAUGGGGAAUUCAGGUGGCGCAAUAAAGUUGGAGAACCACCCCACUAAGUGUUCCCAAUUCAUUUUACAACCCUCCAUUAUUGCAAUUAAACUAUUCCCUUCCCCACCGUGUUCCUCUUGGGAGGGAAUGUCUCUUCAUUUCUGGGCUUUCAAGUACAGCCCUGCACUAUGUAGGCUGGGAGAGUGGCCUUGGGUUCUUAUUUGUGAAAUGAAUGAAAUGUCCAGAGCUGGAGCCCUGGUGUCUCGACCCCCCCUGACCCACAACUUCCCUACCCCAUCAUGGGUUAUCUCCAUAGGUCUCUGAAUUCUUAAUGAAAGCAUUUCCUGCUUGGCUAUGCCUGAACAUCAUAUGCAAACUUAACCUCACACACCCACGUGGAGAGAUCCUGGGAAGAAUGGGGCUUAUGGAGGAUUGAUUGCUCUAAGGAAAGUCAAAGUGUGGUCCGCAGCAGGGGUGCCAGAGCACCUGGCUCCAGGGGUCCCAAGCUGGGUUUGGCCACUCCCCGCUGAUAAAAUCCAAAGGCAGAGAGAUGAGUGGUGGAGAAACAAGAAAGGGAUUUUAUUUCAGUGAGGCCAACACCAGGAAGACAGUGGACUAGCUUCUCAAAGACUGUUUCCAAAGUGCUGAAAAUACUUCCAGGUUAUGUAAGGAGAAAGUGGGACAAAGGUUGGUCAAUACAGGCAGGUGGGCAGUGAAGGUCAAGUCGUCAUUGUCUUGGGGUCAAUCCCAGGCAGGUGUUGCUGGCUCAGGGCCGUCUUGAUUGCUUGAGGGGGUCGUUUUGUUCCCAUCAGGGAUGCUUUGCCCUCAGGGUCUUUUGCCUAAGUUAAGAGACAAGCUGGAAAGAACAACUUAAUCAGUUAGAAAGUUUGAGGUCAAAACGAGGUUAAGUCCUCCUUCAAACUUGAGGUGCUCUGAAGUCAAGGGAGUAGAAGGGCACCUGGCUGGCUCAGUCGGUAGAUUGUGCAACUCUUGACUUCAGGGUUGUGAGUUCAAGCCCCACAUUGGGUGUAGAGAUUACUCAAAAAUAAAAUCUUAACAACAACAACAUGAAGUUAAGUGAGUGGAAUCAACACGAAUUCAGAUGCACAAGACCUCUACAGCUGGUGUCUGUUCUGAGUGUCACCCAAGUUUCCCCCCAAACCUAUCAAGGAGUUAAAACAUACUCCGGAAAAGAACCCUGGAAUGUAACAGUUAAGGUGGAUGCUCGGGACAUAAUGAGUCCUAACAGAAGGCUUGUGUGUGGCUUGUCUGGAGAAAUUAUAGGGUAUCUCCCACACUACCCAAGGAUAAAGAUGCUCUGAUACUAUUGGCUAGUGCUGUUCGUUUAGAGAGAACUAGUCCAAAAGAAUGGCAGUUCAUCUUAGAAGAAAUCAUUAUAUCUCCUAAGAACAGCAAAUCCCCUUUCUUUAAUCAGAGACUUUACUGACCACCUCCCAUGGGUCACGGGCCUUUACUAGCUGCUGGAGAUAUGACCGUAGGCUAACAGGCACAGUACUUGCUCUUAAGGAGUCAGUAUUGUUGCCACCCAGUCACUCAAAUCCCAGUCUGUCAUUUGGUACGCUUUGUGGAUUUGCCUGGCAAGGCAUAGGACUCUGAGCAAGUGACCAGAGCCAAUUAUUUGGCCAGCGAGCCCUCCUGUUCGCACACUGAUAACAUUCCAGUUUUGAAUCACCUGUGACUUGGGUGAAAGUGACACAUUUCCCAGAGUGUGGUCUCCUCUGGAUAAAUGCCUAUAAACCUGAGUCCGCUGGUGAGCUUGAUAUAACAGCCCUGCCCUGGGAAGGCCAGCAGCGGGCAGUGGCCAGCCUCCAGUGGCUCUCCAUUGCUGCACUGCCUUGGCUCCUCCCACCAGCCCCACGUCUGGAUCCCUUGCUUCCUGAAACAGGGCCUUCUAUUAGUCUGUCUAAUUUUGCGUUUCUUGCAGGUGUCCUUGCCUGCCCUGGUAGCCCACUGAGAGGUUGCUGAGGGGAUUCUUGGAGCAUCAAAUUCCAAAGAGCUUGAGUCAGAAGAAGCUUUGCAGCCCAGGGCUGACUUUGAAGGAAGAGGGGGCAGGGGCGGCUGAUGUUACAGGUCUAAAUGUUGGACGAAGCUAUUCAUGGACAGGUCAUUUCCUGGCUGUAGGUCAGGGUGGGAACUGGACUCCUGCAUUCUGUGUUCCUUGCUGGAGACCAUGCUUGCUGGAAUCAAGUACCUGGGAGGAUGACAUCACAAACGACCUGAAGCACUGUGCUGGUUAAUUUUAUGUAUCAACUUGGCUAGACCGUGGUGCCCAGUUGUUUGGUGGGUGCCCACUUGACCCACCAUGGUGCUAGACCAUGGUGCCCAGACACAGCCUGUUGCUGUGAAGGUAUUUGGUAUGUGAUUAACAUUUGCAAUCAACUGACUUGACGUGAAAGAGAUUACCCUCCAUCCAUAAUAUGGGUGGGCCUCACCCAAUCAGUUGAAGGCCUUAAGAGCCAAAAUUGAAGCUUCCUGGAUAGGAAGGAAUUCUGUCUUAAGAUUGUAACAUGGAAGAACUGCUUGAGUUUCCAGACUGCUGACCUGCUGUAUGGAUUUUGGUCUUGCUAGCCCCUACAGUUGUGUGAGCCAAUUCCUUAAAAAUCUCUUUCUCUCUCUACAUGUACACACACGUAUGUAUGUAGGUGUGUGUGUGUGUGUGUGUGUGUCUUUAAUCUCAGGACCCUUGCCUCAGCCCUGGAUUUUGGUAAGAGCAUUGGGAAUAAGAGCCAUGAUGACAAAGAAGUCAGGUCUUCUCCACCAGUUCAAGUCUGUCUACACCAGGGGAAGACUCAUGUAGUCCCCAGGGGUUAAGAGGUUAAUAUGGAGCUUUUAUACAUCAGUUUAGUACAUGACAGUGGUGAACAAUGAUGAAUUUGGGUGCUUCAUAUCCUGGUGCUUCCAUUUACCCUGUUAAUAAUAAUAGUUCUGAAUUUGCAUUUACAAAUACACUCGAAUUUUGUAACUUUGUAUGGUGACAGAUGGUGACUAAGUCUAGUGGUGUUCAUUUCACAGUGUAUGCAAAUAUCAAGUCAUUAUUGUUGUACACUUGAAACUAAUAUAAUGUCAUAUGUCAAUUAUACUUCAGUUAAAAAAAAAAGGAAUA
Molecule: long non-coding RNA, 3207 nt
Organism: Herpailurus yagouaroundi (jaguarundi)
Lineage: Eukaryota; Metazoa; Chordata; Mammalia; Carnivora; Felidae
Exons: 3
Source: RefSeq, a predicted model, not a curated record